CAGCAGCCGCGGUAAUACGUAGGGUGCGAGCGUUAAUCGGAAUUACUGGGCGUAAAGCGGGCGCAGACGGUUACUUAAGCAGGAUGUGAAAUCCCCGGGCUCAACCUGGGAACUGCGUUCUGAACUGGGUGACUAGAGUGUGUCAGAGGGAGGUAGAAUUCCACGUGUAGCAGUGAAAUGCGUAGAGAUGUGGAGGAAUACCGAUGGCGAAGGCAGCCUCCUGGGGUAACACUGACGUUCAUGCCCGAAAGCGUGGGUAGCAAACAGGAUUAGAUACCCGAGUAGUCCCUGUCUCUUAUAC
RNAcentral lists this ribosomal RNA (301 nucleotides) under uncultured bacterium. Its description in RNAcentral is "partial 16S ribosomal RNA". It matches the Rfam family "Bacterial small subunit ribosomal RNA", at positions 509 to 807 of the family's 1533-position model. The record is from RNAcentral.